RNAcentral lists this transfer RNA (76 nucleotides) under Bacteroidota bacterium. Its description in RNAcentral is "tRNA-Gly". It matches the Rfam family "tRNA". Rfam says of the family: Transfer RNA (tRNA) molecules are approximately 80 nucleotides in length. Their secondary structure includes four short double-helical elements and three loops (D, anti-codon, and T loops). The record is from RNAcentral. RNAcentral also lists the same sequence under 2 other names. Lineage: Bacteria; Pseudomonadati; Bacteroidota.
GCGGGAAUAGCUCAUUUGGUAGAGCGACAGCCUUCCAAGCUGUAGGUGGCCGGUUCGAGCCCGGUUUCCCGCUCCA